GCUUCAUUGGAAUGUCUUUAGCACGGGGCCCCAGGCAAAUGUUCUGCUUGCUACUCCCUAAUGCUGGCCCUGACUUUUAUAUGCAGAAAACCAGUUAUUGUGGCAUAGGUGGGCUGU
Long non-coding RNA from Gopherus evgoodei (Goodes thornscrub tortoise), 117 nucleotides. RefSeq lists it as uncharacterized. The transcript is spliced from 3 exons. NCBI's taxonomy places the organism in Eukaryota, Metazoa, Chordata, Testudines, Testudinidae. The record is from RefSeq and is a predicted model, not a curated record.